GAGCGCCCGGACCUUUCGAGACCCCGUAUCCCUAGAAGCCGCGGUCUAGAAAUCGCAGGCCCCGGCCAGCCCCCGCGUCCUGGGCCCGCAAUGCUGGCUGUGGGGGCGCUCGACACCUACUGUCGUUUGAACCCCCCAAGAAAGACGGUUAGGAGUGGGGGCUACUCAAGCCACAAAGCUUGCCGUCUCCAGUUAUCUCGAGCAGCAACACCUGGCAGGUGCUUUCCAUUCCUGACCACAGUGGCCAGUCCGGAGGAGCCUGAAAUAAAUAUUUCUAGUUUCUGAGGUCUGCUGAUGGCCAAAGAGCAGCUGUCCCUGCAGCUUAGUGGAAGAGCACAGUAUUAAUUUUUCAAUUCUUCAACCUAAAACUUCAUUAGCUAUUAUUCAGAACAUUGUUUGUCCCUACUUGUUUAAGGGGCAAGGUUAAGAAUUAAAAAUGAUGGAACAACGAG
Molecule: long non-coding RNA, 452 nt
Organism: Mastomys coucha (southern multimammate mouse)
Lineage: Eukaryota; Metazoa; Chordata; Mammalia; Rodentia; Muridae
Exons: 2
Source: RefSeq, a predicted model, not a curated record